AGUCUCAGUUCGGAUCGCAGGCUGCAACUCGCCUGCGUGAAGUUGGAAUUGCAGUAAUCGCGGAUCAGCAUGCCGCGGUGAAUACGUUCCCGGGCCUUGUACACACCGCCCGUCACACCAUGGGAGUUUGUAACACCCGAAGUCAGUAUCCUAACCGCAAGGGGGGAGCUGCCGAAGGUGGGAUAAGCGACUGGGGUGAAGUCGUAACAAGGUAUC
This 216-nucleotide ribosomal RNA is filed under the name uncultured bacterium. RNAcentral describes it as "partial 16S ribosomal RNA". It matches the Rfam family "Bacterial small subunit ribosomal RNA", at positions 1284 to 1500 of the family's 1533-position model. The record is from RNAcentral.